Long non-coding RNA from Vicia villosa (hairy vetch), 1704 nucleotides. RefSeq lists it as uncharacterized. The transcript is spliced from 3 exons. The record is from RefSeq and is a predicted model, not a curated record. NCBI's taxonomy places the organism in Eukaryota, Viridiplantae, Streptophyta, Magnoliopsida, Fabales, Fabaceae.
UCACCAUAACUCGAGAGGUGUUGUCAAUGGACCAGCUUGGGAAUACAUUUUUGUGGAUGGCAUGCGGUCCGAUGUUCGUAGGUCAUCAGUUUAGCUUGCAAGUCACAAGGGUUGGACUGCGUAUCAGACCGUCGAAAUGCUGAAGGCUAGAGAGGACAUUCAGUUGGCGCAAGUUCGUUGUGGGUAUGUCUCGUGUACUACGAUUGUGCACGAAGACUUGGACAAUGGUUACAGAUCAGUGGUUGAAUUUCGCGUCUUAUCAGUAGAAUCCUGUGCGAAGUUGUCGAAUGUCAAGGAUAUAGUUGCAAGACGAUUACACCUUCGCGGUUUACGGUGAUAGUUGUUAUGUCUAAACUUGAGUAAGGGUUUAAGUAAAAAGAUUCAGUUGUAUGAGUAAAGGUAAAUUUGGAACAAUCAUCCUAAGACUUUAGGAACCAGAGGUUAAGACCGAGGAAUUUGAAGAUCACCUAAUGACAUUGUAUGGACUCGAAUGGAGAAUAAUUUGAAGUGUUAUCGCAGAAGUGACAUGGUGGCAGUAAUUCUCAAACAGGAAGUAAUUCAAGGAGCUGAGUGGAUCAGUAAUGUUUGUUGAACGAGGGUGAACACAUCAGAGAAUGAAACGAAGGAUAUCCGACAUGAGUGGAUUAUUGGAGUUUUUGAAGUUUUGGAGAUUCAGUGCAGAGCAGUAAAGGUCAAGGACCCUGGAAGGACCCUUUCCCCAGGUGUAUCAAGACGAAGUAUCAGAUUAGACGUGUUGCUUGAGAGUUAAGGUUUCUAAUCAUGUGUAGUGGGAUGCAACCAUUUUGGCAGAUUAUGUUUCUUCGUGUGGAAUGACCCUCAGGCAGAGUAGUGAGAUUAUCUGAAGAGAAAUGUGAGUAACAUUCUUUCCCUUGGUUGGAUAGAUGUGAAGAGUUAGUUUUUCGCGAUGAAUGAAAGGAAUUCGAGGACGAAUUCAAUUUAAGGGGGGGAGAAUGUAAUAUCCCAUAUUAUGAUCAAGCAUGAUUAUGAAAUACUAAGAAAAUAUUAUGGACUAAUUUGCAUUAAGAAAGAUUAGUUGGAGUAGAAGGAAAUUGGUUAGGAACUAACCAAGUGGCUAUUGUGUAAAUAUGGCUUAGUUUGAGGGCAUAAUGGACCUUGAGUAAUGUUGCAUGUUAUAAGGCCUUGUUUGGGUGCAUGCUAUUCAUUUUUGUUUCACAAUUCAGAAUUUGGAGCAAGAGAGAAAGGAGGAAGUUAUGUUCAUCAAUUCCAUUUUCGCACCCUAAGAACAGCCUCCACUAAAACAGCUUCUAUUUCGAAGGAGAAAACUGACCUUGAAGUUGUGUCAGUGAUGCUGAAAGUGGGUACAAGUGUGAUUACGGAUUUGAUGAAGAUGGAGUGAAACUUUGGCUAUGGUGGGAGUCCAAUGGCAGCAAACAUCAUCUUUCUAAACCUCCAUUUUAGCAAGGUGCAGUUAGUAGCGUUUGGUCAGUAACAGGUUUGGACUGAUGACUUGGAAGUGGUGUUGGCUCGAAGACCUCAUUGGUUUUGACAUUCCGCUGUGCAAGAUCCAUUGAAGACUUAUGUAUUAUGCUUCUUAGUAGAAUAUCAUGUUGUAUUUUAUAUGGAUCUUUCUACAACUAUAGCUUUUGUAUGUACUCAAUAUCAAUUUUAACGUUUCAUGCAUAAUAUACUAGUCAGUUAUGUAUGGGGUGUUACAAAAAUAAU